RNAcentral lists this ribosomal RNA (244 nucleotides) under uncultured bacterium. Its description in RNAcentral is "partial 16S ribosomal RNA". It matches the Rfam family "Bacterial small subunit ribosomal RNA", at positions 89 to 334 of the family's 1533-position model. The record is from RNAcentral.
CGUCGAGUGGCGGACGGGUGAGUAAUACUUAGGAAUCUGCCCAUUAGUGGGGGACAACUCGGGGAAACUCGAGCUAAUACCGCAUACGCCCUACGGGGGAAAGCGGAGGACCUUUCGGGGCUUCGCGCUAAUGGAUGAGCCUAAGUCGGAUUAGCUUGUUGGUGAGGUAAAGGCUCACCAAGGCGGCGAUCCGUAGCUGGUCUGAGAGGACGAUCAGCCACACUGGGACUGAGACACGGCCCAG